AAUGCUCUAGAGUUGCCAAACAAGUGUGGAAGCCACUGCCCUCUUUUAUGCACAAGAGAGGGAUUCAUAGUCGUAACAAAAAGGCAAUGGAACUAGUGGCAAAAGGGUGGAGUGCUCUACAGGAAGUAGAUAGGGUUAUCGACUAUGCCGAUCGGAAUGACACUCGCCUCAUCCUGCAACUCAGAGGUGCAAAGGAGAACUUUGAAUUGGCUCUUGAGAUUGACAACAUGAAUACUCAUGCAUGAUACUGGUU
This is a long non-coding RNA of Zingiber officinale, 253 nucleotides long. RefSeq lists it as uncharacterized. Lineage: Eukaryota; Viridiplantae; Streptophyta; Magnoliopsida; Zingiberales; Zingiberaceae. The record is from RefSeq and is a predicted model, not a curated record. The transcript has 3 exons.